This 1532-nucleotide long non-coding RNA is filed under the name Cicer arietinum (chickpea). RNAcentral's name for it is "long non-coding RNA (CARI_LNC003471)". Lineage: Eukaryota; Viridiplantae; Streptophyta; Magnoliopsida; Fabales; Fabaceae. The record is from RNAcentral.
ACAUUACUUAUCUAAAAAAUAAUGUAAAAUAUUACAAAUUAAUAUCAUUACGGUCUAACUUUACAAGAGAAAUCGAAUAUGUAUUGAAAUACAAUCUUAUAAGUCAAGUUUCAGACUUACACAAUAUAUUAACUAAAUUUCAAAAUACAAAUACAAUCACUACAAAACAUUGACAUCAUAUACAUGCUAUGAGUUCAAAGCUCAAGCCUUCUAGUUUACUAUAAUACAUAAAAAUAUAGGGUAAAAUAAUAAUCUCAGUGAAUUCUAUAAAAAGGAAAAAUUGUUAGAAAAUAUAUUUUUCUAAACAUCAACAAUAGAAAAAUACACAUUUCUUUUUCAAUAAAAUUUUUAAGGUAAAAUUACAUUUGAAAAUCUUUUAUUCUUUUCAGUCAAUUUUUAUAUAACAUAUGGACAGUAUAUUCCAAUUAUCUCAACGUGAGUCACCAAGAUAAUUGUGAUCAUUUUGUAAGAUAGGUCUAGACUAUGACCGCAACAUUCAUCUUAGUUGCUCUUCCUUUACAGAUGUUUUAUUAAUGAAAUAUCAUCAUAUCUUCUCGUAUCAUUUUCAGUCACUCAUUUUAAAACAUAUAAUUGAAAAAUGAAAUUUUAACAUGAAAAAAAUAUAGUAUCAUUUUAAGUUAAAUCAAUGCAAAUUAAAACACAUCAAGCUUAUUAAUCAAGCAACCAUUUGCAAUACAAUUAAAUUCAACAUUAAAAAACUACUAUAAACUAAACACACAUUAAAACUACACAAAAAUUUCAAAAUCAAUCAAAUUCGCUUAACAAAUUUAACAUUCACUCAGCAAAUCUAAAAUAGGGGCUAAUUUUUUCAAAAAUCUGUUAAAUUUACUUAGUCAAUUCAAGCAUGAAGCAACCAUGUUAGUCAAAAGCUUGCUUAGCAAAAUAAUUUUCGCUUAGUGAACUUCUACUAAUUUAUAAUCAAACAUAACCAUACAUAUCCAAUUGUUCAAAAUAAAGAUGAAUUCUUGAAGAAAUAGAUGCAAGUGUCAAAUCAUCUACAUGCAAAACCUCACAUUCCUCUCAUUCUCAUUUUCAAAAAAACCCAUUUUGUCAAAACUCUCGAAAACAUAGUUUUCACCAAAUAAGAAGUUGAAUUCACCCCUAUUAACUCACAUGCAACAUGAAAGAUUGGUAGAGAUUUCUACUUAAGCUAAGCAUGGUGAAGAGUUUUCUUGACUUCUAACCCUAACUCCUUCCAUUGAUUAGAAGACUUGUCAAUCUACACUUUCAUGUGACCUUUCCUUUAUGAUUGAGAGGUGGAAAAAGUGGAGAGGAUGAAGAAAAGAGAAGGAUUAAGGGUUAAUUUAACUUGCAUAUGAUAUAUUGAGGUUGGGAAAGAGAAGAGAAUUUUGGGGGAUGGUGAAAUUGAGGCUUGGAAAGAAGGAGGAGAAGAGUAGCAUUUAUGUUGUGUUUGGGAGCUAGAGAAUGCGGCUUGCUUAUCAUGAAUAUUACUACUUCUCACUUCACAAUAUUAAUAUGUAAUAUUAAAAAUGAAAGGAAUAGUAUUAACU